ACCCUACUGAUGCCCGCGUCGCGAUAG
This 27-nucleotide small nuclear RNA is filed under the name Arabidopsis thaliana (thale cress). RNAcentral describes it as "snRNA_17783". The record is from RNAcentral. Lineage: Eukaryota; Viridiplantae; Streptophyta; Magnoliopsida; Brassicales; Brassicaceae.